This 322-nucleotide unclassified non-coding RNA is filed under the name soil metagenome. Its description in RNAcentral is "partial contains 5.8S ribosomal RNA, internal transcribed spacer 2, and large subunit ribosomal RNA". The stretch from base 1 to 120 matches the Rfam family "5.8S ribosomal RNA", at positions 35 to 154 of the family's 154-position model. The record is from RNAcentral.
GAUGAAGAACGUAGCGAAAUGCGAUAAGUAAUGUGAAUUGCAGAAUUCAGUGAAUCAUCGAAUCUUUGAACGCACAUUGCGCCCUUUGGCAUUCCGAAGGGCACACCUGUCCGAGCGCCGUCGCACAACUGAGGCGCAGCCUUGCGUUGGCGGGCGACUUGGGAGUAGCGAGUCGCCGCCCAAACGAGACGGCGCCGCGCCGCGGCCGACGAAGCACGAAAGCGGAAGUCGACGCGGAGGCGGUUGCCUGUAGGAAGACACAGCUUGGCCUCGGAUCAGGUGGGGAUACCCGCUGAACUUAAGCAUAUCAAUAAGCGGAGGA